GGGCCGUUAGCUCAGUGGAUUAGAGCAUUCGCCUUCUAAGCGAAAAGUCGCGGGUUCGAUCCCCGCACGGCCCG
This 74-nucleotide transfer RNA is filed under the name Chloroflexota bacterium. RNAcentral's name for it is "tRNA-Arg". It matches the Rfam family "tRNA". From Rfam's summary of the family: Transfer RNA (tRNA) molecules are approximately 80 nucleotides in length. The record is from RNAcentral. Lineage: Bacteria; Bacillati; Chloroflexota.